Molecule: ribosomal RNA, 253 nt
Filed under: uncultured bacterium
Lineage: Bacteria
Description: partial 16S ribosomal RNA
Rfam family: Bacterial small subunit ribosomal RNA
Source: RNAcentral
UACGGGGGGGGCAAGCGUUGUUCGGAAUUACUGGGCGUAAAGGGCUCGUAGGCGGCCAACUAAGUCAGACGUGAAAUCCCUCGGCUUAACCGGGGAACUGCGUCUGAUACUGGAUGGCUUGAGAUUGGGAGAGGGAUGCGGAAUUCCAGGUGUAGCGGUGAAAUGCGUAGAUAUCUGGAGGAACACCGGUGGCGAAGGCGGCAUCCUGGACCAACACUGACGCUGAGGGGCGAAAGCCAGGGGAGCAAACGGG